This 664-nucleotide ribosomal RNA is filed under the name Bacillus subtilis subsp. subtilis. RNAcentral describes it as "bacterial SSU rRNA". It matches the Rfam family "Bacterial small subunit ribosomal RNA", at positions 707 to 1368 of the family's 1533-position model. Lineage: Bacteria; Bacillati; Bacillota; Bacilli; Caryophanales; Bacillaceae. The record is from RNAcentral.
CACCAGUGGCGAAGGCGACUCUUUGGUCUGUAACUGACGCUGAGGAGCGAAAGCGUGGGGAGCGAACAGGAUUAGAUACCCUGGUAGUCCACGCCGUAAACGAUGAGUGCUAAGUGUUAGGGGGUUUCCGCCCCUUAGUGAUGCAGCUAACGCAUUAAGCACUCCGCCUGGGGAGUACGGUCGCAAGACUGAAACUCAAAGGAAUUGACGGGGGCCCGCACAAGCGGUGGAGCAUGUGGUUUAAUUCGAAGCAACGCGAAGAACCUUACCAGGUCUUGACAUCCUCUGACAAUCCUAGAGAUAGGACGUCCCCUUCGGGGGCAGAGUGACAGGUGGUGCAUGGUUGUCGUCAGCUCGUGUCGUGAGAUGUUGGGUUAAGUCCCGCAACGAGCGCAACCCUUGAUCUUAGUUGCCAGCAUUCAGUUGGGCACUCUAAGGUGACUGCCGGUGACAAACCGGAGGAAGGUGGGGAUGACGUCAAAUCAUCAUGCCCCUUAUGACCUGGGCUACACACGUGCUACAAUGGACAGAACAAAGGGCAGCGAAACCGCGAGGUUAAGCCAAUCCCACAAAUCUGUUCUCAUUACAGCGGGGUGUGCAACUCGCACUGCACGAAUGCACCGCCGCAAGCAGACGCGCGAUAGCAGCGAUCCGUUACCUUAUA